AACGUAGGGGGCAAGCGUUGUCCGGAAUUAUUGGGCGUAAAGCGCACGCAGGCGGCAAAGUAAGUCAGAUGUAAAAGGUAUGGGCUCAACCCAUAUUUCGCAUCUGAUACUGCAUUGCUAGAGAGUGGUAGAGGGAAUCGGAACUUCCAGUGUAGCGGUGAAAUGCGUAGAUAUUGGAAGGAACACCAGUGGCGAAGGCGGAUUCCUGGCCCACUUCUGACGCUGAGGUGCGAAAGCUAGGGGAGCAAACGGGAUUAGAUACCCCCGUA
Molecule: ribosomal RNA, 269 nt
Filed under: uncultured prokaryote
Description: partial 16S ribosomal RNA
Rfam family: Bacterial small subunit ribosomal RNA
Source: RNAcentral